UGUUAAAACUUUUAUCUAUUUUUAUUGUAAAAAAUUGGUGUGACUGACAAACGUGACCUGUUACGUCUACUUCAUUUUGACAUAUAGAAACUAAUUUUUAAUAGUAGAAUUGGAUGGAAUUUUUAACA
Non-coding RNA from Gossypium hirsutum (cotton), 128 nucleotides. The record is from Rfam. Lineage: Eukaryota; Viridiplantae; Streptophyta; Magnoliopsida; Malvales; Malvaceae.